Molecule: long non-coding RNA, 1182 nt
Filed under: Marmota monax (woodchuck)
Lineage: Eukaryota; Metazoa; Chordata; Mammalia; Rodentia; Sciuridae
Source: RNAcentral
GAGAGGAUGAGUCACUUGUCCCUGACCUACAGUGAAGAUCAAAGCCAAGACUUGACCCAGAGAUGACCAGGCAUCUCACUGGGUCUUUUCUACGGGUCUUGACCCCGCCCCUGCAGUAACCUGGUGCUGCCCAGCUCAUCCAUGUGGGAUACUGAGUCCUGCAUGGCUCACUCCUACUGAGUGGUCGAAUUCCAGGAUGGUGGAGUUGGUAGGCAGUUUAGGUUUGAAAAAGAGGACAAGGAGAGAGCCUUGAACUCACAGUGCCACUUUAGUGUGGAACUCCAGACCUCACUAAGGGGAGAAUGUGGUGACCACUCAUCCUGUCUACCUAUAAAGCCUCUGUGGCCCCACCCCAGCAUCCUUGAUCUCGCACUGUUUUUACCCUCUGACCUGUACAUGCCUUAGAGAAUCCAGCCCGUGCAUUGCCGUCUACACUCAGGUGUGGUCAGAAGAAGGGGCCAACAGAGAAGCCACACUUUUCACAGGGAAAGUGGAAUGUGUGCUUGAGGGCAAGGAGGCAGGUGAGCUGGGCUGACAAGACCUUUUCAGGAACUAGAGACUCCUCCUAUCCGCCUGUAUCGUCCCUCUGCCAUCAUGUUAGAAGGAGUUCUCUCUGCUGGAGCUUGGAAAUCAGGUCAGGCCCCAGCACUGGAUUGCAAUUCCACCCGAAGAGAAGGCAGAGAACCUCCUCUUACCACCUCACCAGGUGCUGUCAGUCAAGCCAAGCAUGACAAGGUUGGGAGCAAUUCUUCUUGCUUAUUGCAAUUUUUUUCAAUUCUCCACUUUCACUGUUUCCCAAAAUGGGGUCCUCACUGUUAAAGCUGGAGACUUGUCUGAGCUUCCUCAAGCUUCAGGUCCCUGCUAACUGCAUUAUUCCAGACCUUAUCUUGAGCUGUUUGCUGAAAAAGAUGAUUUUGUCCCUGACUGAAGGGUGAAGUGUUUUUGAUUUUCUACCCCUUGUACCAAGUGUCCCUGCUGAGGGAAUGGUCCAAUGAGCCAUAGGAUAGCACAUAGUGCUCUGCUCUGGUCAGGGAGGAUGGAGGACACUGUAUGGAUCUACUUGGGCCAAUGCCCAAACACACUGUGGAGUGAAUAAAAGCAAAUUACAGGUGGAGGACCUACUUAUUCACUGUAACAACAAUAAGCAUAUUACAUUGCCUAUUGUAAUAUGCUCUACACAAC